UGGUAAAAGCUUAGUAGUUCUUAGAUAUGCUGUAUAAAAUCAGUGAUUAUCGCACAUGGGGGUGCGAUAAAGCAAUCAGCGACACGAUGUCGCAUUGAUUGCGGUCACGUCUGUUUUAAUUAUAUAAAUCAGCAUAUCUUAGAAAUACUUAGCU
This 154-nucleotide non-coding RNA is filed under the name uncultured Lachnospira sp. The record is from RNAcentral. Lineage: Bacteria; Bacillati; Bacillota; Clostridia; Lachnospirales; Lachnospiraceae.